This 266-nucleotide long non-coding RNA is filed under the name Carica papaya (papaya). Its description in RNAcentral is "long non-coding RNA (CPAP_LNC002272)". Lineage: Eukaryota; Viridiplantae; Streptophyta; Magnoliopsida; Brassicales; Caricaceae. The record is from RNAcentral.
UGUCCCAUUAAACCUCCCCCAUGAGAUCUUUAACAAGCAACGUUUGCAUAGAAUAAAUAGGAUGCACAACUUAUUCUCUUUAAAUUACCUAUCCAUUCUAUAGAACUUACCGAAUGUAACUUUCUCACAUGCCUUAAAAAUGUUAAAAAAAUAAGAAUCAUUUUCGUAAAGAGAUUUAACAUGUUCACCUAAAGCAUUGAGUAAAGCAUACCUUCUUGAAAGUGCAUCUGCCACAACAUUCUCUUUGCCUUGCUUGUACUUAAUCA